RNAcentral lists this ribosomal RNA (324 nucleotides) under uncultured bacterium. Its description in RNAcentral is "bacterial SSU rRNA". It matches the Rfam family "Bacterial small subunit ribosomal RNA", at positions 28 to 334 of the family's 1533-position model. The record is from RNAcentral.
GAUGAACGCUGGCGGCAUGCCUAACACAUGCAAGUCGAACGAAGCAUCUUGGAAUGAGACUUCGGUUGAAUGAAGAGAUGACUUAGUGGCGGACGGGUGAGUAACGCGUGAGUAAUCUGCCUUAGAGUGGGGGAUAACGCUCCGAAAGGAACGCUAAUACCGCAUAACAUAACUUGAAGGCAUCUUCGAGUUAUCAAAGAUUUAUUGCUUUAAGAUGAGCUCGCGUAUGAUUAGCUAGUUGGUGAGGUAACGGCUCACCAAGGCGACGAUCAUUAGCCGGACUGAGAGGUUGAACGGCCACAUUGGGACUGAGACACGGCCCAG